UACGUAGGGGGCAAGCGUUGUCCGGGUUUAUUGGGCGUAAAGAGCUCGUAGGCGGUUUGGUAAGUCGGAUGUGAAAUCUCCAGGCUCAACCUGGAGGGGUCAUUCGAUACUGCCAUGACUAGAGUUCGGUAGGGGAGUGUGGAAUUCCUGGUGGAGCGGUGUAAUGCGCAGAUAUCAGGAGGAACACCCGUAGCGAAGGCGGCACUCUGGGCCGACACUGACGCUGAGGAGCGAAAGCGUGGGGAGCAAACAGG
RNAcentral lists this ribosomal RNA (254 nucleotides) under uncultured bacterium. RNAcentral's name for it is "partial 16S ribosomal RNA". It matches the Rfam family "Bacterial small subunit ribosomal RNA", at positions 524 to 776 of the family's 1533-position model. The record is from RNAcentral.